Molecule: long non-coding RNA, 1376 nt
Organism: Ricinus communis (castor bean)
Lineage: Eukaryota; Viridiplantae; Streptophyta; Magnoliopsida; Malpighiales; Euphorbiaceae
Exons: 2
Source: RefSeq, a predicted model, not a curated record
UUGACCAAUGUAGACAUUCAAAUUAAUUAAAUGAAAUCACUCUGUAUUAAUAUUACUAACCGCGUACUUCAUAAUGAAAUCUCAUAUAUACUAUCUUUUCAGUAUUACUAACGACUCGAAUCCAGCUAAAAUAAUAUUCGCCACAAUAAUUAUUGACUGCAUAGUUUUUAACAUCAAAAACCUUUGAUCAAUUGCUUUUCUUCUUAAAGCAAAUAUAGUUCUUCUCCUUACAUUAUAUAGUCCAAAUCGAAAUUUAGUGGAACAUGCAAGAAUUAAAUGCGGGUCAAGCACAUUCAACAGAUCCUUAAAAAUUCUUUUUACUAUAUUAAAAUUCAUAGAUUAUAAUGCACUAGAAUUUACUAUGGUAAAGAUUAAACAUAGUUAAAUUUACACAUUAAAAAAAUUAAAUUGCAAAAAAAAAUUAUUUUAAAUAAAGACUAAAUGAAAUUUUAGGGCAUUUAAAAGAAACUUUACCAAACUUAAAUACUCAUUCUCUCUCGUACACAUUAACUAAAUGAAUUCUCCUCUCUUUCUCUCUCAAAUCCCUAACUUUAUUCUUCUAUACUCUCAAUUUUUCAUGCUCAAAACACAAAUCAAACACCUAAACCUAUAUAUAGUUAAUUAAACAAAUUCUUGGUAUCUUAUAUUGAAAUAGUAAGAAAAGUAUCUUGGGUUCUUUGAAAGAAAAGUUAUCACAAGAAGUAAGCAAUACUCCAUUUUCUUCAAGAUUUUGGUUAUUUGCUAGUAGGAGGAGUAUGGAAAAAUCUGAUUAGGCAAUCAUUACAACCAAGUGAAGUAGUAGAUUUUAGGGGUAGUGGAGCUAUUGAUAAAGUCUUAAGGGAUGAGAUGGAAGCAGAGAUGGAGCCACCGACUGGCAAAGUUAAUGAAGAAAGGACCUUGAUGUUGUACGAGGAGCGAAAUCAUCCUAAUCCGUUUGAAAGAGAGGAUGGAAUUCGAGUAUCCAUAUAAGCGCCCGGAAAGAUGAAGGAGGAAUUCAAUUGUGCGAAGGAUACUCUCCAUUUGCCAAGAUAUUUGAGAUGAUGUAAGGAGUCAAUGAGCUAGACUUGAUAUGAUUGAGCGAGAGCUAGAGCAUCUUCGAGCUAAAAGAAAUGCCAAUCCACCACAACCCUAAUGAGGGAAAUUCAUUUCCUUUCUUGAACUUCUUGUUAUGUUAGUGUUAAUUCGACUUAUGCUGUCUGUUAUUCAUAGUUUGUCAUUUUAUUUAGUUUAAUAAUGUUAUGGUAUGAAAUUUAGUUCUCAAUAUUGUUCUAGUUUUCUAUUUAAUUAUGUUUGUUGAUUCACCAUAAAGUAUCAAGUUGUAAGAAAGCGUGAGCUUUAAUAACGAAAAGGGUACUUUGAGAAUUUGAUCACAAUUA